AUACAUGCAAGUCGAGCGGACCGACGGGAGCUUGCUCCCUUAGGUCAGCGGCGGACGGCUGAGUAACACGUGGGUAACCUGCCUGUAAGACUGGGAUAACUCCGGGAAACCGGGGCUAAUACCGGAUGCUUGAUUGAACCGCAUGGUUCAAUCAUGAAAGGCGGCUUCGGCUGCCGUUUACAGAUGGACCCGCGGCGCAUUAGCUAGUUGGUGAGGUAACGGCUCACCAAGGCGACGAUGCGUAGCCGACCUGAGAGGGUGAUCGGCCACACUGGGACUGAGACACGGCCCAGACUCCUACGGGAGGCAGCAGUAGGGAAUCUUCCGCAAUGGACGAAAGUCUGACGGAGCAACGCCGCGUGAGUGAUGAAGGUUUUCGGAUCGUAAAGCUCUGUUGUUAGGGAAGAACAAGUACCGUUCGAAUAGGGCGGUACCUUGACGGUACCUAACCAGAAAGCCACGGCUAACUACGUGCCAGCAGCCGCGGUAAUACGUAGGUGGCAAGCGUUGUCCGGAAUUAUUGGGCGUAAAGCGCGCGCAGGCGGUUUCUUAAGUCUGAUGUGAAAGCCCCCGGCUCAACCGGGGAGGGUCAUUGGAAACUGGGGAACUUGAGUGCAGAAGAGGAGAGU
Molecule: ribosomal RNA, 629 nt
Filed under: Bacillus sp. (in: firmicutes)
Lineage: Bacteria; Bacillati; Bacillota; Bacilli; Caryophanales; Bacillaceae
Description: bacterial SSU rRNA
Rfam family: Bacterial small subunit ribosomal RNA
Source: RNAcentral